AUGGACGCCGCUGAUGCCGCCUCCCCGUGUGAUGGGCACAGGACGGUGUGGUCGGAACCGCCGAAGCGGCCGGCCGGCCGGACCAAGUUCAAGGAGACGCGCCACCCGCUGUACCGCGGCGUGCGGCGACGGGGCCCCGCCGGCCGGUGGGUGUGCGAGGUGCGCGUGCUCGGGAUGAGGGGCUCCAGGCUUUGGCUCGGCACCUUCACCACCGCCGAGAUGGCAGCGCGCGCGCACGACGCCGCCGUUCUCGCGCUCUCCGGCCGCGCCGCUUGCCUCAACUUCGCCGACUCCGCCUGGCGGAUGCUCCCCGUCCUCGCCGGCCCGUUCAGCACGGCCAAGGAGAUCAAGGAUGCCGUCGCCGUCGCCGUCCUGGCGUUCCAAAGGCAGCACCCGGUCGCGUCCAUGGCACCAUUGUCCCCUGCGCGGACAACCGAUGACGAGAAGGAAAUCGAUGGCUUGCCGGCACCGAGCGCCCUGUCCAUGUCCAGCGAGCUGUUGAAUGAGCACUGGUUUGGCGGCAUGGAUGCCGGAUCGUGCUACUCGGAGUUCAUGGAGUCGCCGGACACCAGACCAUGGCGGGAAGACUUUGAGCUCGGUGGCGUCGAGACACCGCCAUGGAGCUACUUGUUCGACUAA
Molecule: ribosomal RNA, 639 nt
Filed under: Triticum aestivum (bread wheat)
Lineage: Eukaryota; Viridiplantae; Streptophyta; Magnoliopsida; Poales; Poaceae
Description: partial small subunit ribosomal RNA
Source: RNAcentral